AUGCCGCCGGCGUGGCCGGAUUCGACGCGCCGCUGCUCACAGCGGCGGCAAGCAGGUUCCGUGCCGCCGCGGCUGCC
RNAcentral lists this transfer RNA (77 nucleotides) under Streptomyces aurantiogriseus. RNAcentral describes it as "tRNA-Val". Lineage: Bacteria; Bacillati; Actinomycetota; Actinomycetes; Kitasatosporales; Streptomycetaceae. The record is from RNAcentral.